GAUCGUGUGAGAGAAAGUGGUUUUGUGGCCUUUAUUGUUUCCCAUGAAAACUUUCUCCUGCACGAGCACUUGGGCGGCAGAGGCAAGAGGAGCUCUGUAAAUUUAAAACCAGGCUGGUUCUACAUCGUUAGUUCCAGGACAGCCGGAGCUGUAUGCCUUCCACAUGCUGGGACUAACAGAUGCACGCCACCAAGCUUGGCAUGGCUUGUGCCUGCAGUGGCGGCUCUGGGAGGCAGGAAAGACACCGACGGUUCAGCUGGCAAAGCACUUGUUGACAAGUCUCGCCACCUGAACUCCAUCCCCUGACCCUACCAGCCCCUUGAAGCUGUCUUCUGACUCCUGUGAUUGGUUAGUUUUUACCCUUUGGCUCUUUGGGGGCCUGCCACCCAG
Molecule: long non-coding RNA, 390 nt
Organism: Myodes glareolus (Bank vole)
Lineage: Eukaryota; Metazoa; Chordata; Mammalia; Rodentia; Cricetidae
Source: RefSeq, a predicted model, not a curated record